GCUACGGGUGGCAGCAGUGGGGAAUAUUGGGCAAUGGAGGAAACUCUGACCCAGCAACGCCGCGUGAAUGAUGAAGGUCUUCGGAUUGUAAAGUUCUUUUCUGGGGGACGAACAAAUGACGGUACCCCAGGAAUAAGCCACGGCUAACUACGUGCCAGCAGACGCGGUAAUACGUAGGUGGCAAGCGUUAUCCGGAUUUAUUGGGUGUAAAGGGCGUGUAGGCGGGAAUGCAAGUCAGAUGUGAAAACUCAGGGCUCAACCCUGAGCCUGCAUUUGAAACUGUGUUUCUUGAGUGAUGGAGAGGCAAUCGGAAUUCCGUGUGUAGCGGUGAAAUGCGUAGAUAUACGGAGGAACACCAGUGGCGAAGGCGGAUUGCUGGACAGUAACUGACGCUGAGGCGCGAAAGCGUGGGGAGCAAACAGGAUUAGAUACCCUUGUAGUC
RNAcentral lists this ribosomal RNA (442 nucleotides) under uncultured bacterium. Its description in RNAcentral is "partial 16S ribosomal RNA". It matches the Rfam family "Bacterial small subunit ribosomal RNA", at positions 338 to 795 of the family's 1533-position model. The record is from RNAcentral.